ACUACCUCAGUUAGGUGAUCAAGGUCCACAUCAACAGUAGGUCUGAUAUAAUGUGAUGGAAACAGCAUUUCACCUCUGUGGUGUUCUGCCUCCAAACCUAAAACUAAUGUAUAAUCCCUUUAUACAUGAAAAAAAGUCAGACAGAUCUGUUUAGGGAUGUUCUACAAAAUACCUGACCAGUACUCCUCAAAACUGUCAAGCUUGUCAAAGAUAAAGUCUGAGAAAUUGUCACAGCCAAGAGAAUCUAAGGGGACAUGACAACUAUAUGUAAAGUGGUGUCCUGGAAGAGAACCUGGAACAGAAAAAGGACAUUAGGCUAAAAAAUAAGAAAUCUGAAUUAUGGAUUUAAGUUAACAAUAAUGUAUUUAUCUCGGCUCAUUCAUUAUAAUAAACAGAUAUUAAUACUACUGUAGAUACUGUUAAAGGGGAAUUAGAUAAGAGGUACAUGAGAAAACUCUGUACUACCUUCUUCUCUGGAAGUCUAAAACUAUUCUAAAAAAUAAAAAAUUUAUUUUAAAAAAAUGGAGGGGAAAUCUAUGGUUUAAAAGAAGCACAGAGAUACCAAUCAAACAAGAAAGUAUGGAUGGUGGAGGAGUGGGAAACACUCACGUGGCUGCAGGGAAUGUAAAGUGGCACAAGUAUCUUGGAAAAUAAUUUGGAAAUUUUUAUUUAAAAGUUAAAUACAUGCUCUCACACACACAUACACAUACAGUACGACCCAGCCAUUCCACUUGUAGGCAUUUAUUCAAUGACAAGGAAACCUUACGUUCACAUAGAGACUCCGUGAGUGUUCAUGGCAGCUUUAUUGAAUAGCCACAUGCUGAACACCACUCAUCAUCUACAAGUGAAGAUGGAUAAACUGAUAGAUCCAUCUAAUGGAAUAAUACUCAUC
Molecule: long non-coding RNA, 892 nt
Filed under: Marmota monax (woodchuck)
Lineage: Eukaryota; Metazoa; Chordata; Mammalia; Rodentia; Sciuridae
Source: RNAcentral